GCUUUGGCGGGCCCACCGGGGCCACCUGGUCGCCGGGGGACGCACGUCCCCGGGCCCGCGCCCGCCGAAGCGCUCUGUGAACCCUGAUGAAGAUGGGCUGUCUGAGUACUAUGAAAAUUGUCAAAACUUUCAACAAUGGAUCUCUUGGUUCCGGCAUCGAUGAAGAACGCAGCGAAAUGCGAUAAGUAAUGUGAAUUGCAGAAUUCCGUGAAUCAUCGAAUCUUUGAACGCACAUUGCGCCCCCUGGCAUUCCGGGGGGCAUGCCUGUCCGAGCGUCAUUUCUGCCCUCAAGCACGGCUUGUGUGUUGGGUGUGGUCCCCCCGGGGACCUGCCCGAAAGGCAGCGGCGACGUCCGUCUGGUCCUCGAGCGUAUGGGGCUCUGUCACUCGCUCGGGAAGGACCUGCGGGGGUUGGUCACCACCAUGUUUUUACCACGGUUGACCUCGGAUCAGGUAGGAGUUACCCGCUGAACUUAAGCA
RNAcentral lists this ribosomal RNA (479 nucleotides) under Talaromyces verruculosus. Its description in RNAcentral is "eukaryotic LSU rRNA". The stretch from base 125 to 278 matches the Rfam family "5.8S ribosomal RNA". The record is from RNAcentral. Lineage: Eukaryota; Fungi; Ascomycota; Eurotiomycetes; Eurotiales; Trichocomaceae.